UAGAAAGCAAUUUUAUAUAUGCCAUGGAGGAGAGGUUGCUAGGAGGUACUGAGGAAAGCAUAGACCUAGUGAUCUUGGUAAAGUGAACAUCAGAUCCACAGCUUUGAUGUCAGCGUGGUUGGGAGUUGGGUGCUCUUGCCUACUUCCUCAGUGACUUAGGAGAGUUUACUUCAUGUCACUCAGAGCCAGUCUUCGAAGAUGGGGACAAAUCAUGGUUUAUUAAUUGAUUCUGAGAUUCAUUCUGACCAUUCAAUAAGAAAAUUUAUAAAAUGUGUCUAGCACAGACCUGAAUAAACAUUAGUUUCUUAUGUUUUAUUAACAAAUCACCUUUUUCAUCACGAUAUCUUAGCUAAUAUUAUGUAUUUGCUAAGUGGCAGGUGUUGUGCUCUAGGAUUUGUAUGGAUUAUCACAUUUCAUGCUCAGAAUAGCCCAGUGAGAAAAAAACCUCUCUUUACACAUGGGGAAACAGGCUUUGAGCACGAGGCAGCUUCCCAAGGAGACAGCAUGUGCUGGUGUAUGCAUGAGCCCUGGUAGCAUGGCUCAAUCUGUGCUCUCUGCCCCUUCUUAGAGAAUAAUUCCCAGAGGUAGAGGAGAAGCCUCCUGGUGGGGCUCAGGGAGUGGGAGACAGGAAGGAGAACAGCAGCAGAUGGUAGACAUUCUUUCAGAAAAUUUGGAGGUAGAGGCAAGAAAGAAGUGAGAUGCCAGAUCAGGGUAGGAUUUUCAGGAGAACCUUGAGCAGUGAGCUUCUUUUGGAGUUUUUUUUUUUUUUUCCUCAGGCAAUGAACACAACUUCUAAAAGCCAUUCAACAUCAUAUAUUUAUUUAGUGAGUGCUGUAUGCUCUUAAAAUUCCCGUGGUUUGUACAUAGGUUGGGACAUGGUCUCCAGGGAAAUUGAGUCCAGUCUCAUUGGCUUUGGCUUACAGUAGGCUGUUUGCCCAGGUAGUCCUGGCUCCAAGACAGCAGACAUUGCACCUUGGAAUUCUGACAUUCCUGACAAUGCUUUUGCAGCUGUCCCUCUUUUUUGUUACUGUAGUGACAUGUCCUGAGGAGAUGGCUGCAGAUGUCCAGCCCCCAAUCCAUCCUGCCUCAUCUUGCCUGCAGCAUUGACAACCAUAGGCUGAAACAGGGAGGAAAUUCACAGGAACUAAGGCCAGGGACCUCCCAACCUCUCUCCCAUACAAUUUAACAGACUGCAGAAAAUGAACCCUGAAUGGGCAGUUUCCAUUUCCCAUCACAAGGUGGGAGGGAGAAAGAGCCUCAUUCUAUAUAACUCAGAGGUGGUGAAUUCACAUCAGGCCCAAGGGUUACUAGUGGUCAUAAAGAUAAAUCCUGCAUGGACAGAGGAGGCUGGAGUAGAAGUGCUGCCCUUGCUAAUUGCACAGAAAGAAGAAAUACCAUGAAUGAAAAGGGUUGCAGAGGAAAUCAUGGUUUAAUGGCAUGGUAUAUAAGGCUGGGUGGAUUGUGAGGAGAGUAAGUGUAAUUUAUAAGAGGUGAAACUUUUAUCUCCAUAAAGGGCCAGAUUGAGCCUACCAUAAAUCUAAAUCUUCUGAAAUAGCUAUGAUUAUGUUGGUAAUAUGUUAAAAGAUAGAUCUUUUUUUAAUGCUCCCCCAAUCCCACCAGGCCACUACUGAGUAGUUAACAAGAUUUUUUUCCUGAAUGUAUGUAGUGAACUUCAUAGAUACCUGCAUUUAGUUUUAAUUUUCUUUAUUGGGAUUUUCAUUUUUAUUUUAAGAAAAAAAGUGGUUCAUUGAAAACAUUGAGGUGAGCUUAAAAUUAUUCAGAACAGUUAAGACUGCUUAGUAUGCUAAUGUGAACACAAAAUAUCUGAGACAGGUCUUAGUCAAUUUAGAAAGUUUAUUUUACCAAGGUUAAGGAUGCACCCAUGACACAGCCUCAGGAAGUCCUGAGACAUGUGCCCCAAGGUGGUUGGGGGUACAGUUUGCUUUUAUGUAUUUCAGGGAGACAUGAGACAUCAAUCAAUAUGUGUAAGAUGUACAUUGGUUUAGUCCAGUAAGGCAGCAACAACUCAAAGUGGGGGUUUCCACGUUAGACAUAGAUAGGAGACAAAAGGUUGCAUUCUUUUGAUCAGCCUUCCACUGAAUACACAAUUUAGUCUGGCUUGAGGGUGGGGCCAUUGCUAGGGACUGGCCCUCUUCUGCCCAGAAUUUCCCUGCCUCCUGUCCCUAUCACCACGAUUUAUUUUCCUUUCACAUUAGUUUGCUGAGGUUUUAAAAUUACCUUUUCUACAGAGUUGUUUGUAUAAUUUGAAGGUUUUCUUAAAUUCUUACUCAUUUAGUGGUUGAUGACUCCUGAGGUAGCCAAAUUACUACUAACAUUUAAAAAAACAUUUCAAGUAUGUUCUCAGGUUUGUAAAUUAAGUUUUUCAAGAAUUUAAACUUAUAAAAUAUUUUUUAAAUGGUUAACUUGUAUAUGAUACAACCUUAUGAGUUUUUUUUUUUUUUUAAUUCGUUGUGCUGAGUCUUUUUUUUUCUUUUAAGGUAAUCCAGAAAUAGACAACAAGAAAUAUUACAAGUACAGCAAAGAGAAGACAUUAAAGUGGCUGGAAAAAAAGGUUAAUCAAACUGUGGCAGCAUUAAAAACCAAUAAUGUGAAUGUCAGUUCCCGGGUACAGUCAACUGCAUUUUUCUCUGGUGACCAAGUUUCCACUGACAAGGAAGAGGAUUAUAUUCGUUAUGCCCAUGGUCUGAUAUCUGAUUACAUCCCUAAAGAAUUAAGUGAUGACUUAUCUAAAUACUUAAAGCUUCCAGAACCUUCAGCCUCAUUGCCAAAUCCUCCAUCAAAGAUGGCAGCACAAAGACAGAAAAGGGGCAAGUGACGGUGGUGGCUCCACGCAAGGCUUGGCGAUUUUCCCUGCAACUUCAGACACUCCCAGAGGACUCGGGCUUUUUCUUCUGCACUUUUUGGAAAAUUGCUAAGUGCCAAAAGGUGUAUUUUAAAGCGCUGCCUGUACAUGCUUUAUUUCUUUGAUUACUACCACUAGUCUAUGUGGGCAGCGGCAUUCCUGCCUGGAGCACUCAGCUAGGCGGUUCCGUCCGGGAGCUUGAAAGCAUCCCAGCGGUGCAGCUUGUUCAGUCUGAGGACCUUAAGCUUGGGUCAGGCCAGCAUGUUUUAGGUAUGGAUGUGGUGACUUAAAGUAUUUGAUUGUCUUGAUUUCACCCUGAAAGCUUUGGCAAACCAAGUUUCAACCCUUACUUUAAAAAUCUGACACUUCUUUACUCCAUAUCAAUUUGGAAGCUUCUAAUUCAUAAAUAUACCUAAACAUUGGCCUUUUAUCUCUCCAGGAGUUAUUAAACAUUUCUUCCUUUUU
Molecule: small RNA, 3328 nt
Filed under: Pongo abelii (Sumatran orangutan)
Lineage: Eukaryota; Metazoa; Chordata; Mammalia; Primates; Hominidae
Description: retained intron
Source: RNAcentral